CCCGGGGCCGCGCGAGAGGGGAGUUCCCGCGGUGGAGAGGAAUGGGAGAGGGCAGGCGGCUAGCGGGUGGGGGCAGGGCCAGGCCCGGCCGCCGCUUCUUUGCACCUGCAGUACCUCCCCAGCGCCUUGGCCGGCCCUCCCGGUACUCGGCCGUCCCCCUCGGACUGACCGCUCCUGCCCUCCGGCGGUACUACUGCCGAGGCUGGCGAGGCGGGGUGGGGCACGCGGACCUCCCAACCUAGGCCCUCGGCCGAACGGGCCUUGGUGUCCCCACUUCCUGCCACUCCCUAUUGGCUCGAGCGGUCCGGGACAGCCUCAGCGCCCCUCUGAACCCUGAGCUGUGGACCAGACUGACCCCCUUUUCCCCGGCUGCCUCUCUCAUUCUGAGGCAGGACAAUAGGGGACAUCGCGCGUUUGCGUACCGAGUCAGCCCGGGCGGCAAGAAGAGGGUGCCCGAAGGCAGAGGCCGUGGACCGGCUGCGGAGCACCCUCGCGGGGGUCACAACCGAGCGCCCUGCCCAGGCGGACCCAGGGCCCUGCCAUCGCAAGCCUCCCCCAAGCGGCGCUCGGCUCUUUCGCGUCGAAAACAAAGACUAAUCCGAUACCCCCGCCCUGCCUCCCAGAGGAGGGGGAACGGGCGCGUCGCGGAGGGUAACAGAGGAGGACAGGGUUCAGGAGGGGCUUGGUUAGCCUCCGAGAGACCUUGGAGCGACCAAGCCCUAAAACCUGGAGCAAACAGGUGACUUUAAAAAGUCACCCUGGGCUAUGUUCCACGUAGGGGGUAAGGGGCAAAGCCGCAAGAAUACUUCCAAGUUGCCAAACUAACCAUUCUCUCUGCUGCUUUCUUCCCCUCACCUGUUGUGCAGGCCAAGUUGAAAUUCCAGGUUAGAUUCAGCUCCACCCAUCUGGCCUGACUGCCAGACUGGUGCCCGCAGCUGCCUUCCACCUACCUGGGUUGCUGUGGAGAAGGGUGGGUCUCUAACACACACACACACACACACACACACACGGGCAAGUCCUGGCAGAAACAGCCACGGAGCGGACUAGCCUGACCAGUUUGGGCGGUGCUCACCAAGCCAGGUACCUUGCAGCGGUCCCCGCCCGCUGAAGCAAACUACUCAGUCAGAACUGGAAAAAGAGCAUUUGGCUGGCUAUUUAGAAGGGAAAAAAAGUAACAGAUCUCAAGUAGCGCUAUCCAGAAAGCCCUAGGCGGUAGAAGCGGCCCCCAUUCUGUCUGGAACUUCCCUCUCACAGGCCUGAUUUUGACAGCUGGCUCCAGUGGCUAGGUUGUCAGCUGUCAGGUGGGUUGUGAACAUGGUUGAAAUACCUAUUUCCUACCAUGCAUGGCCUUUGGAAAGACCAAAGAGUUUCUGUUCAGGGAAGUAAGACUAGAAUUGAGAGGAAAUGCCACUAAAGUGUUAUUUUCAAACAUGGAAAGUUGUGGGCUUGUAGCUUUCAAUGUAAUAAAUUGUUAGUGUUUUAAAUAUUAAAGAAAAUGUGGAAAGUAUAGGAAAUUA
This 1517-nucleotide long non-coding RNA is filed under the name Marmota monax (woodchuck). Lineage: Eukaryota; Metazoa; Chordata; Mammalia; Rodentia; Sciuridae. The record is from RNAcentral.